AGUGAACGCUGGCGGUAGGCCUAACACAUGCAAGUCGAACGGCAGCACAGUAAGAGCUUGCUCUUACGGGUGGCGGGUGGCGGACGGGUGAGGAAUACAUCGGAAUCUACUUUUUCGUGGGGGAUAACGUAGGGAAACUUACGCUAGUACCGCAUACGACCUACGGGUGAAAGCAGGGGAUCUUCGGACCUUGCGCGAAUGAAUGCGCCGAUGUCGGAUUGGCUAGUUGGCGGGGUAAAGGCCCACCAAGGCGACGAUCCGUAGCCGGUCUGAGAGGAUGGUCAGCCACACUGGAACUGAGACACGGUCCAGACUCCUACGGGAGGCAGCAGUGGGGAAUAUUGGACAAUGGGCGCAAGCCUGAUCCAGCCAUACCGCGUGGGUGAAGAAGGCCUUCGGGUUGUAAAGCCCUUUUGUUGGGAAAGAAAAGCAGCAGGUUGAUACCCCGCUGUUCUGACGGUACCCAAAGAAUAAGCACCGGCUAACUUCGUG
This 492-nucleotide ribosomal RNA is filed under the name uncultured bacterium. RNAcentral's name for it is "partial 16S ribosomal RNA". It matches the Rfam family "Bacterial small subunit ribosomal RNA", at positions 29 to 507 of the family's 1533-position model. The record is from RNAcentral.